Non-coding RNA from Cinara cedri, 230 nucleotides. The record is from the annotation of a GenBank genome assembly. NCBI's taxonomy places the organism in Eukaryota, Metazoa, Arthropoda, Insecta, Hemiptera, Aphididae.
CCCACAACCCGAGAUAUCGACGAGAAAACAAAUGGGCUUCGGAUGGAGAACGUAUGGAAAGAGGGAACUACUAUUCUCGCGGGAUGAAAAACUAUCACUGAACCAAAAAUUGAUACUUGACUUUCACACAACAAAAAGCGGGUUGACACAUAAUAUAAUAACAGGUUGGAAAAAGACGUCAUCCGGGUCGGUCGGCCGGUCAAAACUAAUGGUUCUACGAGUGUGGUUUU